AUUGAACGCUGGCGGCGUGCUUAACACAUGCAAGUCGAUCGGUAACAGGUGUAGCAAUACAUGCUGACGAGAGGCGGACGGGUGAGUAAUGCUUGGGAAUCUGCCUAUUAGUGGGGGACAACCCGGGGAAACUCGGGCUAAUACCGCAUACGCUCUACGGAGGAAAGCCGGGGACCGCAAGGCCUGGCGCUAAUAGAUGAGCCCAAGUCGGAUUAGCUAGUUGGUAGGGUAACGCCUACCAAGGCGACAAUCCGUAGCUGGUCUGAGAGGACGACCAGCCACACCGGAACUGAGACACGGUCCGGACUCCUACGGGAGGCAGCAGUGGGGAAUAUUGGACAAUGGGGGCAACCCUGAUCCAGCGACGCCGCGUGGGUGAAGAAGGCCUGCGGGUUGUAAAGCCCUUUCGGUGGGAAGAAAAGUCUCGACCUAAUACGUCGGGACCUUGACGUAACCCACUAAAGAAGCACCGGCUAACUCUGUGCCAGCCGCCGCCGU
Molecule: ribosomal RNA, 498 nt
Filed under: uncultured bacterium
Lineage: Bacteria
Description: bacterial SSU rRNA
Rfam family: Bacterial small subunit ribosomal RNA
Source: RNAcentral